This 1047-nucleotide long non-coding RNA is filed under the name Felis catus (domestic cat). RNAcentral describes it as "lncRNA (ENSFCAG00000052038.1)". Lineage: Eukaryota; Metazoa; Chordata; Mammalia; Carnivora; Felidae. The record is from RNAcentral.
GGGGGGGCAGUGCACAAGCAGGGGAAGGGCAGGAGAGGGAGAGAGAGAAGGAAUCCCAAGGAGGCUCCAGGCUGCCAGUGCAGAGCCUGACUCAGGGCUCAAACUCACAGCCCAUGAGAUCACGACCUGAGCCGAAACCAAGAGUUGGACGCUUAACUGACUGAGCCACCCAGGCGCCCCUAAAGCAAACUUUUAAUACAAGACAUACAUGUGCUUGAUUAAAUGGUCCAAUAGGACACAAAAUACGCAGUGAGACGUUUACCUUUUUCUUCCUAUCCCUCAGUUUCUUAGCGCUCCUUCCAAGAGGCAACUACUCUUACUGACAUCCUGAGGCUCCUUACUGGAUGAUUUUUAGAAGUUAUUUCUUACAGAUCCAUAUGAGGCUAUAGUGUUUGAUAUCUAUGUGAACGUUAUCUCCAAGGAGGGAAGGAUGCUUCUCUGAUUACCUCCAACGCGAAGGGAGCUAAAUUUAUGUCCCGGCGGCAGGGACGGCGAUGAGGCACCAGGCUGGGGGAGACCAGCGGUCAACAGAUGCGCAAACAGAACUGGAAAACAUGAGAUCCUAGAGGUGCUGUGCAGAGAAUUAAAAUAGAGGGACGCACUAGGGAGUGACUGAGUGGUCACUCCCUAUCUCCCUCUGAGGAGGUCACUUUCGAGGUCUCUGCUCCGUUGCUGAAGGUAAAGGUCCUGAGAAAAACCAGCAUCGACCGCAGCUGUCCUCAGGGAUACGUGUACACUCGAGAUAAGGCAGAACACGGCAAAGCAAGGAUUCAGAUCCUGCCUCACUCAAAGCCACUGAGUUUCUCUGACAAUCUGAAUGACCUGCCUGACGAUUCUCUUCGCUUAGCAUGGUAAGCUGAAGAUCUUUGAAAACAAAACAAAACAAAACAGUGUAACUAGGGGCACCUGGGUGGCCCCGUCGGUUGAGCGUCCGACUCGUGAUUUCGGCUCAGGUCCUGAUCUCACAGUUCGUGAGGCUCCGAGCUGACAGAGUGGAGCCCGCUUGAGAUUCGCUCUCUUUCUUUCUCUGCCCCUCCCCCCACCUCU